GACGAACGCUGGCGGCGUGCUUAACACAUGCAAGUCGAACGGAAAGGCCCUGCUUUUGUGGGGUGCUCGAGUGGCGAACGGGUGAGUAACACGUGAGUAACCUGCCCUUGACUUUGGGAUAACUUCAGGAAACUGGGGCUAAUACCGGAUAGGAGCUCCUGCUGCAUGGUGGGGGUUGGAAAGUUUCGGCGGUUGGGGAUGGACUCGCGGCUUAUCAGCUUGUUGGUGGGGUAGUGGCUUACCAAGGCUUUGACGGGUAGCCGGCCUGAGAGGGUGACCGGCCACAUUGGGACUGAGAUACGGCCCAGACUCCUACGGGAGGCAGCAGUGGGGAAUAUUGCACAAUGGGCGGAAGCCUGAUGCGGCAACGCCGCGUGCGGGAUGACGGCCUUCGGGUUGUGAACCGCUUUCGCCUGUGACGAAGCGUGAGUGACGGUAAUGGGUAAAGAAGCACCGGCUAACUACGUG
This 468-nucleotide ribosomal RNA is filed under the name uncultured bacterium. RNAcentral's name for it is "partial 16S ribosomal RNA". It matches the Rfam family "Bacterial small subunit ribosomal RNA", at positions 28 to 507 of the family's 1533-position model. The record is from RNAcentral.